RNAcentral lists this transfer RNA (92 nucleotides) under Xylaria longipes. RNAcentral's name for it is "tRNA-Thr". It matches the Rfam family "tRNA". Rfam says of the family: Transfer RNA (tRNA) molecules are approximately 80 nucleotides in length. Their secondary structure includes four short double-helical elements and three loops (D, anti-codon, and T loops). The record is from RNAcentral. Lineage: Eukaryota; Fungi; Ascomycota; Sordariomycetes; Xylariales; Xylariaceae.
GCCCCUAUGGCGUAGUGGUAGCGCGUGUCACUUGUAAGGUAUUUAUUUACAAGUAUAUGACAAGGUCUCUCGUUCGAUCCGGGAUGGGGGCA